RNAcentral lists this ribosomal RNA (412 nucleotides) under uncultured bacterium. RNAcentral's name for it is "bacterial SSU rRNA". It matches the Rfam family "Bacterial small subunit ribosomal RNA", at positions 505 to 916 of the family's 1533-position model. The record is from RNAcentral.
GUGCCAGCCGCCGCGGUAAUACGUAGGUGGCGAGCGUUGUCCGGAAUUAUUGGGCGUAAAGCGCAUGUAGGCGGGAAUAUAAGUCUGUUGUGAAAAUGCGGGGCUCAACCCCGUAUUGCAAUGGAAACUGUAUUUCUUGAGUGCAGGAGAGGAAAGGGGAAUUCCCAGUGUAGCGGUGAAAUGCGUAGAUAUUGGGAGGAACACCAGUGGCGAAGGCGCCUUUCUGGACUGUGUCUGACGCUGAGAUGCGAAAGCCAGGGGAGCGAACGGGAUUAGAUACCCCGGUAGUCCUGGCCGUAAACGAUGGGUACUAGGUGUAGGAGGUAUCGACCCCUUCUGUGCCGGAGUUAACGCAAUAAGUACCCCGCCUGGGGAGUACGGCCGCAAGGUUGAAACUUAAAUGAAUUGACGG